RNAcentral lists this transfer RNA (66 nucleotides) under Atylotus miser. Its description in RNAcentral is "tRNA-Asn". The record is from RNAcentral. Lineage: Eukaryota; Metazoa; Arthropoda; Insecta; Diptera; Tabanidae.
UUAAUUGAAGCCAAAAUAGAGGCAUAUCACUGUUAAUGAUAAGACUGAAUCUUAAUUCCAAUUAAG